RNAcentral lists this ribosomal RNA (617 nucleotides) under uncultured bacterium. RNAcentral's name for it is "bacterial SSU rRNA". It matches the Rfam family "Bacterial small subunit ribosomal RNA", at positions 202 to 834 of the family's 1533-position model. The record is from RNAcentral.
GAAAGGAUUUAUUCGGUGCAGGAUGGGCCCGCAUCUGAUUAGCUAGUUGGUGAGAUAACAGCCCACCAAGGCGACGAUCAGUAGCCGACCUGAGAGGGUGACCGGCCACAUUGGGACUGAGACACGGCCCAAACUCCUACGGGAGGCAGCAGUGGGGAAUAUUGCACAAUGGGCGAAAGCCUGAUGCAGCAACGCCGCGUGAAGGAAGAAGGGUUUCGGCUCGUAAACUUCUAUCAACAGGGACGAAAGAAAUGACGGUACCUGAAUAAGAAGCCCCGGCUAACUACGUGCCAGCAGCCGCGGUAAUACGUAGGGGGCAAGCGUUAUCCGGAAUUACUGGGUGUAAAGGGUGAGUAGGCGGCAUGGUAAGCCAGAUGUGAAAGCCUUGGGCUUAACCCGAGGAUUGCAUUUGGAACUAUCAAGCUAGAGUACAGGAGAGGAAAGCGGAAUUCCUAGUGUAGCGGUGAAAUGCGUAGAUAUUAGGAAGAACACCAGUGGCGAAGGCGGCUUUCUGGACUGAAACUGACGCUGAGGCACGAAAGCGUGGGGAGCGAACAGGAUUAGAUACCCUGGUAGUCCACGCCGUAAACGAUGAGUGCUAGGUGUCGGGGAGGAAU